GACGAACGCUGGCGGCGUGCUUAACACGUGCAAGUCGUACGGUAAGGCCCUUUCGGGGGUACACGAGUGGCGAACGGGUGAGUAACACGUGAGUAACCUGCCCACAACUUUGGGAUAACGCUAGGAAACUGGUGCUAAUACUGGAUAUGUGCUCCUGCUGCAUGGUGGGGGUUGGAAAGCUCCGGCGGUUGUGGAUGGACUCGCGGCCUAUCAGCUUGUUGGUGGGGUAGUGGCCUACCAAGGCGGCGACGGGUAGCCGGCCUGAGAGGGUGACCGGCCACAUUGGGACUGAGAUACGGCCCAGACUCCUACGGGAGGCAGCAGUGGGGAAGAUUGCACAAUGGGCGCAAGCCUGAUGCAGCAACGCCGCGUGCGGGAGGACGGCCUUCGGGUUGUAAACCGCUUUCAGCAGGGACGAAGCUUUUUGUGACGGUACCUGCAGAAGAAGCACCGGCUAACUACGUG
Molecule: ribosomal RNA, 465 nt
Filed under: uncultured bacterium
Lineage: Bacteria
Description: partial 16S ribosomal RNA
Rfam family: Bacterial small subunit ribosomal RNA
Source: RNAcentral